This 92-nucleotide non-coding RNA is filed under the name Serratia marcescens. Lineage: Bacteria; Pseudomonadati; Pseudomonadota; Gammaproteobacteria; Enterobacterales; Yersiniaceae. The record is from RNAcentral.
GUAUACUUCCUUACAGGCGCCAGGCCUGCUUUCGACCCCCGAACUUACGAUCUCCCGACCAAAGUUGAUGCGUAAUUCGGGGGUUUUUGCGU